CGGGUGUGGGAGGGAGAACAAUGCUGUCCUGGCACCAGUGACAUCAGUGGCCUGGCCUGGAGGGGACCUUGAAAGCUGUUCUUUGGACCCAGCAAAGCCCCACCGUGGUUGGAACGUGGGUCUCUGAGUGACUGCGUGGAGAAGAACCACUACCCUCUGCCCAAUGUAUUGGUGACAUCAGUGAGCUGUAAACUGUUAUUGGACUAAGCCAUCAAGAUUUGGGCGUUUGUUUGUUACCACAGCAACACCUGCUUUGCACGGACUAAUACAUCAUGUUCACAGACACUGCUGAUGUGUUUCACCAGAUUUAGUUUUCUCCUGAUGGUUUCUGCAGCGGGUUCUGGAGCUGUGUUCCUACCUCAAUACCUACCCUAGCAUCAAAGUCCCUGGUGGGAAAGCAAUGCUUUCUCACAUUAUGAAGAUGGAAAAGAAUAUCGUCAGGGAGAACAUCACCAGCCCAGAAAAUUGGCUGUCAGCUCCAGGCCUCCAACCCUUAUAUUUAUUCCUGGGAAACCCUUGCUAAGUUAGGCAUUGAUUCUCUGCAUGUGACACGCCAUAAUAACUUCUAACUUGGAGAGUUGGCUUGUUUUCACUCAUUCAUUCAACAAAUGUUUCCUGAACUCAUAUUCUGUCUGGGCUUCCACCAAUAUUGAUUGGGAUCCUGCUCUGUGUUAGGCAGUGUUCAGCCCUGCCCUCAGAGAGCUUCCAUGCAUGGAGGGAGACAGACAGAAGGAAGUAGGACGUGUUGUGUGAUAAUCAAUGUUAGGGGCAAAUAAAGCAGAGCCGGG
RNAcentral lists this long non-coding RNA (788 nucleotides) under Homo sapiens (human). RNAcentral's name for it is "HSALNT0385127". The record is from RNAcentral. Lineage: Eukaryota; Metazoa; Chordata; Mammalia; Primates; Hominidae.